ACGGGGUGCAGCAGGCGCGAAAACUUUGCAAUAAGCGAAAGCUUGACAGGGCUAUCCCGAGUGCCAUCCGCUGAGGAAGGCUUUUACCCAGUCUAGUAAGCUGGGGGAAUAAGGAGAGGGCAAGUCUGGUGUCAGCCGCCGCGGUAAUACCAGCUCUCCGAGUGGUGUGGAUGUUUAUUGGGCCUAAAGCAUCCGUAGCUGGCUGAGUUAGUCCCCUGUUAAAUCCACCGAAUCAAUCGUUGGAUUGCGGGGGAUACUGCUCGGCUAGGGGACGGGAGAGGCAGACGGUAUUUUCGGGGUAGGGGUGAAAUCCUAUAAUCCCGGGAAGACCACCAGUGGCGAAGGCUGUCUGCUAGAACGCGCCCGACGGUGAGGGAUGAAAGCUGGGGUAGCGAACCGGAUUAGAUACCCGGGUAGUCCCAGCCGUAAACGAUGCAGGCUAGGUGUUUGGGCGGCCACGUGCCGCUCUAGUGCCGCAGGGAAGCUGUUAAGCCUGCCGCCUGGGGAGUACGAUCGCAAGAUUGAAACUUAAAGGAAUUGGCGGGGGAGCA
Molecule: ribosomal RNA, 551 nt
Filed under: uncultured archaeon
Lineage: Archaea
Description: bacterial SSU rRNA
Rfam family: Archaeal small subunit ribosomal RNA
Source: RNAcentral